Molecule: non-coding RNA, 323 nt
Organism: Dermacentor albipictus
Lineage: Eukaryota; Metazoa; Arthropoda; Arachnida; Ixodida; Ixodidae
Source: RefSeq, a predicted model, not a curated record
AGGAACACUGCUGGAAAAUUGCCGCGGAUCAAAUUCUACCGUUUUCCUAGGAAAUCGUAUGAGACUGAAAGAAGACAGAGGUGGAUCGCAGCUGUCCGCCGAGCAAGCUCAGAGGGAGAGCUGUGGCAACCGAAAAGGAAUGAAACGCGAAUAUGCAGUGCUCACUUCGUGGGAAACGAGAGAAGCAACAUCGCUCAGCACCCAGCGUACAUUCCAACAAUAUUUCCACCUUGCUACAAAAAGAGUGAUGCCGCCUUGCCCCAGACCACGUUUUCACUUUUCAGAAUAAAAGGAGAGGUCGAAGUGACCCUUAGCGCACUGUG